AUACGGAGGACGCGAGCGUUAUCCGGAUUCAUUGGGCGUAAAGGGUGCGUAGGCGGCUUCUUAAGUUUGUAGUGAAAUCGUAGGGCUCAACUCUAUCUAGCUACAAAAACUGGGAGGCUGGAGUGCGGUAGAGGCUAGUGGAAUUCCUAGUGUAGCGGUAAAAUGCGUAGAUAUUAGGAGGAACACCGGUGGCGAAGGCGACUAGCUGGGCCGUAACUGACGCUGAGGCACGAAAGCGUGGGGAGCAAAUAGGAUUAGAUACCCUAGUAGUCCACGCCGUAAACGAUGAAUACUAAGUGUUGGAGAAAUUCAGUGCUGCAGUUAACGCAAUAAGUAUUCCGCCUGGGGAGUAUGCACGCAAGUGUGAAACUUAAAGGAAUUGACGGGG
Molecule: ribosomal RNA, 388 nt
Filed under: uncultured bacterium
Lineage: Bacteria
Description: partial 16S ribosomal RNA
Rfam family: Bacterial small subunit ribosomal RNA
Source: RNAcentral